Molecule: long non-coding RNA, 359 nt
Organism: Melanotaenia boesemani (Boeseman's rainbowfish)
Lineage: Eukaryota; Metazoa; Chordata; Actinopteri; Atheriniformes; Melanotaeniidae
Exons: 3
Source: RefSeq, a predicted model, not a curated record
AAGACUAAAAACUAUGAUUUUUGAAAAAACCAGCUUUUACAACCCGAAGGUGUCCUUGUGUGUAUUAAGUAUUCUGGAGCAGAGCAAAACAUUUCCUCAGCCUGAUCAGAUCAUUUUACAUUAUCUGGAUCUUUUCCAGGCGUAAAUUUAGCAUCUCCUUCUAAUUUAGUUUUUACUGUUAAAAGUACCCAUUUUAUUUCUUCAUGAGAUUUCUCAUAUCCUACUUAAACUGUUAGACAGAGCUUCAUUAUUACCAGCAACGUGUCCUCUCUGUCUAUUGCUUCGGAAUGUGAGAGAAUCUCCAACCACACACACACACACUCACACACUCUCUGCUUUGAGUUUUUUUUGUUAUCUUC